AGAUCCGCAACUUGGAGAAAAGGAUUGGCUCUGAGGUGCCACCCGAGCAGAUCUUGGCAGUCA
Molecule: ribosomal RNA, 63 nt
Filed under: Amphidinium massartii
Lineage: Eukaryota; Dinophyceae; Amphidiniales; Amphidiniaceae
Description: partial Eukaryotic large subunit ribosomal RNA
Source: RNAcentral